RNAcentral lists this ribosomal RNA (831 nucleotides) under uncultured bacterium. RNAcentral describes it as "bacterial SSU rRNA". It matches the Rfam family "Bacterial small subunit ribosomal RNA", at positions 54 to 878 of the family's 1533-position model. The record is from RNAcentral.
CAUGCAAGUCGAGGGGCAACAUGGUAUCAGCUUGCUGAUACCGAUGGCGACCGGCGCACGGGUGAGUAACGCGUAUGUAAUCUACCUGUAACAGAGGGAUAACCCGGAGAAAUCCGGACUAAUACCUCAUAGCACAUAUUAUUCGCAUGAAUUUUAUGUUAAAGAGACUCGGUUACAGAUGAACAUGCGUUCCAUUAGCUGGUUGGCGGGGUCACGGCCCACCAAGGCAACGAUGGAUAGGGGUUCUGAGAGGAAGGUCCCCCACACUGGUACUGAGACACGGACCAGACUCCUACGGGAGGCAGCAGUGAGGAAUAUUGGUCAAUGGGCGGAAGCCUGAACCAGCCAAGUCGCGUGGAGGAAGACGGCCCUACGGGUCGUAAACUCCUUUUACCUGGGAAUAACGGGCGCUACGCGUAGCGCUGUGCAAGUACCGGGCGAAUAAGCAUCGGCUAAUUCCGUGCCAGCAGCCGCGGUAAUACGGAAGAUGCGAGCGUUAUCCGGAUUUAUUGGGUUUAAAGGGUGCGUAGGCGGAAGAAUAAGUCAGCGGUGAAAUGCUUCAGCUCAACUGGAGAAUUGCCGAUGAAACUGUUUUUCUAGAGUAUAAAAGAGGUAUGCGGAAUGCGUGGUGUAGCGGUGAAAUGCAUAGAUAUCACGCAGAACCCCGAUUGCGAAGGCAGCAUACUGGGCUAUAACUGACGCUGAAGCACGAAAGCGUGGGUAUCGAACAGGAUUAGAUACCCUGGUAGUCCACGCCGUAAACGAUGAAUACUAACUGUUUGCGAUAUAAUGUAAGCGGUACAGCGAAAGCGUUAAGUAUUCCACCUGGGG